AACGCACAUUGCGCCCGCCAGUAUUCUGGCGGGCAUGCCUGUUCGAGCGUCAUUUCAACCAUCAAGCCCCCGGCUUGCGUUGGGGCCCUGCGGCUGCCGCAGGCCCUUAAAAACAGUGGCGGGCUCGCUGUCACACCGAGCGUAGUAAUACAUCUCGCUUUGGACGUGCGGCGGGUUCUUGCCGUGAAACACCCCCCCUUCUCAAGGUUGACCUCGGAUCAGGUAGGAAUACCCGCUGAACUUAA
This 245-nucleotide unclassified non-coding RNA is filed under the name uncultured Sordariales. RNAcentral describes it as "sequence contains ITS2". The stretch from base 1 to 52 matches the Rfam family "5.8S ribosomal RNA", at positions 103 to 154 of the family's 154-position model. Lineage: Eukaryota; Fungi; Ascomycota; Sordariomycetes; Sordariales. The record is from RNAcentral. RNAcentral also lists the same sequence under 1 other name.